RNAcentral lists this ribosomal RNA (497 nucleotides) under uncultured bacterium. RNAcentral's name for it is "partial 16S ribosomal RNA". It matches the Rfam family "Bacterial small subunit ribosomal RNA", at positions 28 to 507 of the family's 1533-position model. The record is from RNAcentral.
GAUGAACGCUGGCGGCGUGCCUAAUACAUGCAAGUCGAGCGAACAGACGAGGAGCUUGCUUCUCUGACGUUAGCGGCGGACGGGUGAGUAACACGUGGAUAACCUACCUAUAAGACUGGGAUAACUUCGGGAAACCGGAGCUAAUACCGGAUGAUAUCUUGAACCGCAUGGUUCAAUAGUGAAAGACGGUCUUGCUGUCACUUAUAGAUGGAUCCGCGCUGCAUUAGCUAGUUGGUAAGGUAACGGCUUACCAAGGCAACGAUGCAUAGCCGACCUGAGAGGGUGAUCGGCCACACUGGAACUGAGACACGGUCCAGACUCCUACGGGAGGCAGCAGUAGGGAAUCUUCCGCAAUGGGCGAAAGCCUGACGGAGCAACGCCGCGUGAGUGAUGAAGGUCUUCGGAUCGUAAAACUCUGUUAUUAGGGAAGAACAUAUGUGUAAGUAACUGUGCACGUCUUGACGGUACCUAAUCAGAAAGCCACGGCUAACUACGUG